UAACUUUAAUUUGCUAUUAUUCCAUUUUAUUCAAAGGUUUAGUAUGUCUAGCUACACCGAUUCGACCCAUCGCUUCAACAAUACGAUGCAUGACUUUCAAUGAGAGAGCCAAGACUAAUCUAACUAUACCCGAAGUGAUAUCCGCACUGACUGAUAAGUUAGGACUGUAUUAUACUACAGCUGCAGACAAGUUCCACGGUCUCCUCGCAAAUCCUCGAGACCUACAGCUUCUGCCACAACAUAUCUACGAUAAUCAAAGACAAGCUAGAGUACUAAUUCUGUCAGGUUAUGAAAUACAACACAUUGAAGCUAAUGCGUUCACCGCAUUUACAAGCCUCCGUAC
This is a long non-coding RNA of Strongylocentrotus purpuratus (purple sea urchin), 343 nucleotides long. RefSeq lists it as uncharacterized. The record is from RefSeq and is a predicted model, not a curated record. Lineage: Eukaryota; Metazoa; Echinodermata; Echinoidea; Camarodonta; Strongylocentrotidae. The transcript is spliced from 3 exons.